GCCGGGCAUGGUGGCGCAUGCCUGUAAUCACAGCUACUCAGGAGGCUGAGGCAGGAGAAUUGCUUGAGCCUGGGAGGCAGAGGUUGCAGUGAGCCAAGAUUGUGCACUGCACUCCAGCCUGGGCAACAGAGCAAAGCCCUGUCUCAA
This 147-nucleotide small RNA is filed under the name Pongo abelii (Sumatran orangutan). RNAcentral's name for it is "Metazoan signal recognition particle RNA (ENSPPYG00000040231.1)". The record is from Rfam by way of RNAcentral. Lineage: Eukaryota; Metazoa; Chordata; Mammalia; Primates; Hominidae.